GGGGUUAGCGAGCAGGUGCAGCCAGACUGUGUGGGCACCAGGGACUCCCCCGUGCCCUAGUAGGUGAGGGGUGGCCUCCUUCGUCUGCACACCUGGGUGCCACUUCCAGCUUCUCACCAGACUUUCAUAUGGUUGCGGCCAACAGGAUGACACUUUCAUGCAUCUCAGGUUCAGAGAAGAGCCAAGGGUGAGCCAGGCUUCCAGCAGUAACUGCUCAGCCCCUCGGCAGCCUCCAGGGAAGGAAAGUGGUGAGAACCGGUGAGACCUUGGCCACUCCCCUACCUUCUUCAACCAAAACAAUUCCUUGUUUUUCCUUUUUUUUUUCCCCCUCAGGGUAAAAUGUUGGAAAGGGGAGUCCUGUGUCUAAAUAAAGCUGGAAACCAAGAGUGAAGGAGAUUGUGUUCUCUAGAACGGAAGAACGCUCUGAUUCCUGCUUCCUGGAGCUCGGAUGAGUUCGGUUUGCAGCGACUAAUGUAUACAAGUCUUGGUCAAAGAUGACGUUGGCCCAAAAUCACAUGGGGUCAAAGGAGACUGUAGCCCACAGCUGCCUCCCAGGCAAUGGACUUGGAAAGCCUGUGGAAAUGUGUUUUAACCAGCAAUUACACUCCACCUUGUUAAUCUUCAUCAAGCUGCCUGUAAACCAGCAGACAGAUGCAACUCCCCUGAGCACUGAGUCCCCUUCAGUGCCUGCAAGGAGAAAUUCGGUUCUCUCAGUGGGUGUGGUAAGAAAAUCUGCUCAAAGCCAAAGGUGAGUGAUCAAAUACAAUGGUCUCUAGGACCACAGAAUUCUAUGAUUAUAGGGUAUAGAAUGGAAAUUAAUGAGAUCUGCUCCACACAAACAAGCAGAUCUAGGAGUAGAAGUAUGUCACAACCUGGGGUGCCUGGGUGGCUCAGUUGGUUGAGCGUUUGACUUCAGCUCAGGUCAUGUUCUCACGGUUUGUGAGUUCGAACCUUGCAUCAGGCUGGCUGCUGUCCACACAUGAGCCUGCUUCAGACUUUGUCCCCCUCUCUAUGUCCCUCCCUGACUGAUUCCCUUUCUCUCUCUGUCUCUCAAAAAUGGAAUAAACAUUAAACUAAAAUAUGUCAUGACUUGAAGACAACCUCAAGUUUAUUUUUAGGUGACAUGAAUCUUUUAAGGUUCUUGAUUUCAGAAACAAAACCCACUCUGACUCGUUUAAGCAGAAAAAGAAUUUUAUUAAAUGUUUAAAGUAGUUGUCAGACUCUUGGUGGGGGCCAUUGAAUCAACCAUGGAUGCUCUGAGCCCGGGAGCCACAUGCAAGUUACACAGCAGGAUGGCUCCCCCAAGUACCCCACUUUCCCGGGGCCUGGACAGCCCAGCACUCACCCCCAGGGGUGGACUCUAGAGGCCACCACUAGAAUCUCCGGCAGUGGUCCCUGGACGUGGCCUCCUCUCCCCUCACCUGUCAGGAUGGCGUCUGUGAGGUGCCUCACUUCCUUCUGCAUGGAGGUCUCCCUGGUGUGGAUCUAACUGGCAGAACCUGGAGCACCCCAUCCUCAAAUCUAAGACGUCAAGAGACGUUCUGACUUCUUUGGAGAGCAAACUCUCCGAAACUGGCACAUCCUCCGUAUAUAAAAAGGGCUCAAAAGUAACAGGUGGCCAAAAACCAUGAUGGAUGCCCACUUCGGCUUCCCCUAGGGGCCUGGAGAGGCUGAAGCACGUCUUUCCAGGGAGGUUAAUGACCCACAGGGUAGGCUCUCUACUAGCAGGACGUGGGGAAUGGGAACGAGCCGGUAGAUCGAUUUCCUUCCUCUCUCCUGCGGGGCUGCCUUGAGAUGCCGCAGUUUGUUUGGUCUUACUGAACACGUCCCAUGAGAUGGAGUCGUAACUACUUGCAACCAAUAACAGGCUGACUCCAGCCUCUCUCACAUUCGCCCCUGAUUCAUUCCCCCUUCUCCCUCACCCUUGCUUCCCUGGGAUUGCACCUCCCUACAAGGGGGCCAGUGCACAGGCUUUUCCCUUAGGCUCUGGUUUCUCAGGGAACCCACUCUGUAAGCACAGCUUACUGCAGGUGCAACGUCUGUCUUCUCACUCGUCUUUGCCGGGUUCCCAUAACCAGCUUCAGUGAUUUUCCCUAGAAAACCAGUAAUAGACACUCAUGCUGAUUUACCAACCCGUAUUUGCUUCAGCUGUCACUCAUGCUGAAGACUUCUGUCUCUGAUUUAUCGUUGCCUUAUGUACAAAAAGAGAAUUAUUAUUCAUUGGGAGAUUGGGCUGGGAGAGUGGGGGUGGAGGAAUCAGCUUGCCAACUCUUUCAGGGUCACUGAGAGUCUCCUAGCUUCUGGUUGAAACAGCCCCAUGCUUUGUUAGAGCCAUGCUGACUUUUUUUAAGUCCUCUAAACCAGCCCUUGUGCCCCAGUGCUCUGUGCCCUUCUGCAAGUUGUUUUCUAGAAAGUGGUGCUUCUUUCUUUUCUUUCUUUCUUUCUUCUUUCUUUCUUUCUUUCUUUCACGUUUAUUUUUGAGAGAAAGAGAGUGCAAAAGCAAGGGAGGGGCGGAGACAAAGGGGAAGA
Molecule: long non-coding RNA, 2529 nt
Organism: Felis catus (domestic cat)
Lineage: Eukaryota; Metazoa; Chordata; Mammalia; Carnivora; Felidae
Exons: 3
Source: RefSeq, a predicted model, not a curated record